AGCAUAAUGGGUUACACAGCUCACAUGUCUUGCAUCCCGUUAGUCAUAAAACAUGAGCUUCUGCUUGGGGAGGGGAACAGUGGGGAUGAUUGCUCCCAGAUGUGGAUGGCCUGUCCAGUGCUCCAGAAUAUGGUGGAUUAGUGCAUAGGAAUGUGUGUUGCAAGGAGGGGCAGGAGAGUGGUACACUGUGCCCAUGGUUUACAUAUUGGCCAGAUAACUCCUUAGGAGAAAAUGAGAGGAGGCUGUGAGAUGCUAGUUCAUGGUAGAGGCAACUCUUCUAGUUAGUAUCUCAGGGGUGUUUGUGUGUGUGGGUGUAGGUGUGGGUGUGUUUGCAUGCACAUGUGUGUGUUGAGGAUGGAACACAGGACCUUGCACAUGCUAAGCAAGUGCUCUGUCCCUGAGCUCUAUUGCAGCCCUUUGUCUCAGUUUUGAUUGUUUAAAUCCAUUUCUUGGUACUCUGCUUCAGUGGACUUUAACACAAAGAGACUGAGAGAUGCCUGCUUCCAGAACAGCCCAGUUAUCUUGCCUCCCUGAAUGGUGAAAAUGAACCGAGCAGGUUAUCUUGUUUUGGGAUUGUAAGAAUAUGACUGUGUUGUAGGUGGGGGAUCUGACCAUGCAGAACAGGCGUCUGCAGAUGGUUACUGUAGGACAUUGGAGAU
This 659-nucleotide long non-coding RNA is filed under the name Marmota monax (woodchuck). Lineage: Eukaryota; Metazoa; Chordata; Mammalia; Rodentia; Sciuridae. The record is from RNAcentral.